GAAAAAGCUGUGAGUAGGAAGAAUGUAAAAUGUUCUUUUUUAGAGAGAGUAGGGUUGGUGAAACUACUUAAAGAAUUUUUACAGGGCCAACCUAUUAGCUCUGUGUGAUGAACACAGCGUAUCUCUGCGUUAAAGAGUCCGAGAGGGAGAGCAUUAUUGCACUUCAACUAGGGUGGUACCACAGGAAUUAUCCUGCCCCUAAU
This 203-nucleotide non-coding RNA is filed under the name Eubacterium sp. RNAcentral describes it as "T-box sequence". It matches the Rfam family "T-box leader". From Rfam's summary of the family: Uncharged tRNA acts as the effector for transcription antitermination of genes in the T-box leader family. The record is from RNAcentral. Lineage: Bacteria; Bacillati; Bacillota; Clostridia; Eubacteriales; Eubacteriaceae.